RNAcentral lists this ribosomal RNA (573 nucleotides) under Taphrina sp. JS-77. RNAcentral's name for it is "eukaryotic LSU rRNA". It matches the Rfam family "Eukaryotic large subunit ribosomal RNA", at positions 62 to 648 of the family's 3401-position model. Lineage: Eukaryota; Fungi; Ascomycota; Taphrinomycetes; Taphrinales; Taphrinaceae. The record is from RNAcentral.
AAACUAACUAGGAUGCCUUCAGUAACGGCGAGCGAAGCAGGCAUAGCUCAAAUUUGUAAUCUGGCGCCUUUGGCGUCCGAGUUGUAUUUUCUAGAAGCGAGUUCGGCGACAGCUCCUACCCAAGUCCGUUGGAACGCGGCGUCAUGGAGGGUGAGAAUCCCGUGAAUGGUAGGAUGUCUGCUGCUAUGUGAACCGCCUUCGAAGAGUCGAGUUGUUUGGGAAUGCAGCUCUAAAUGGGAGGUAAAUUUCUUCUAAAGCUAAAUAUUGGCCAGAGACCGAUAGCGAACAAGUAGAGUGAUCGAAAGAUGAAAAGAACUUUGAAAAGAGAGUUAAACAGUACGUGAAAUUGUUGAAAGGGAAGCGCUUGAGAUCAGACUUCCUGUCUGGACUGUCCUUGCUUUUGCUUGGGUCAACAGUCCAGGCGUGGAGGCCAGCAUCAGUUUUGACGGCCGGAUAAAGACCUUGGGAAGGUAGCUCCUCUCGGGGAGUGUUAUAGCCCAGGGUGUAAUACGGCCAGUUGGGACUGAGGACCGCGGCUUUGCCUAGGAUGCUGGCGUAAUGGUCUUAAGCGAC